GCCGCGUGAGGGAUGAAGGCCUUCGGGUUGUAAACCUCUUUUAGCAGGGAAGAAGCGAAAGUGACGGUACCUGCARAAAAAGCACCGGCUAACUACGUGCCAGCASCCGCGGUAAUACGUAGGGUGCAAGCGUUGUCCGGAAUUAUUGGGCGUAAAGAGCUCGUAGGCGGUUUGUCGCGUCUGCUGUGAAAAUCCGAGGCUCAACCUCGGACCUGCAGUGGGUACGGGCAAGCUAGAGUGCGGKAGGGGAGAUGGGAAUUCSUGGUGUAGCGGUGGAAUGCGCAGAUAUCARGAGGAACACCAAUGGCGAAGGCACAUCUCUGGGCCGUAACUGACGCUGAGGARCGAAAGCGUGGGGAGCAAACARGAUUASAUACCCUGGUAGUCCACGCCGUAAACGGUGGGUGCUAGUUAUGGGCUCCAUUCCACGGAGUCUGUGACGAARUUAACACAUUAAGCACCCCGCCUGGGGAGUACGGUCGCAAGACUAAAA
This 493-nucleotide ribosomal RNA is filed under the name uncultured bacterium. RNAcentral describes it as "bacterial SSU rRNA". It matches the Rfam family "Bacterial small subunit ribosomal RNA", at positions 396 to 899 of the family's 1533-position model. The record is from RNAcentral.